ACUUUCAACAACGGAUCUCUUGGNUCUCGCAUCGAUGAAGAACGCAGCGAAAUGCGAUAAGUAAUGUGAAUUGCAGAAUUCAGUGAAUCAUCGAAUCUUUGAACGCACCUUGCGCUCCUUGGUAUUCCGAGGAGCAUGCCUGUUUGAGUGUCAU
Molecule: ribosomal RNA, 154 nt
Filed under: Sarcodon aff. imbricatus VPC-2007
Lineage: Eukaryota; Fungi; Basidiomycota; Agaricomycetes; Thelephorales; Thelephoraceae
Description: 5.8S ribosomal RNA
Rfam family: 5.8S ribosomal RNA
About the family: 5.8S ribosomal RNA (5.8S rRNA) is a component of the large subunit of the eukaryotic ribosome. It is transcribed by RNA polymerase I as part of the 45S precursor that also contains 18S and 28S rRNA.
Source: RNAcentral